RNAcentral lists this ribosomal RNA (360 nucleotides) under uncultured bacterium. RNAcentral's name for it is "bacterial SSU rRNA". It matches the Rfam family "Bacterial small subunit ribosomal RNA", at positions 505 to 866 of the family's 1533-position model. The record is from RNAcentral.
GUGUCAGCAGCCGCGGUAAUACGGAGGGUGCAAGCGUUAUCCGGAUUCACUGGGUUUAAAGGGUGCGUAGGUGGGUUGAUAAGUCAGUGGUGAAAUCUCCGGGCUUAACUCGGAAACUGCCGUUGAUACUAUCAGUCUUGAAUAUUGUGGAGGUAAGCGGAAUAUGUCAUGUAGCGGUGAAAUGCUUAGAUAUGACAUAGAACACCGAUAGCGAAGGCAGCUUGCUACACAAUUAUUGACACUGAGGCACGAAAGCGUGGGGAUCAAACAGGAUUAGAUACCCUGGUAGUCCCACGCCCUAAACGAUGGAUACUCGACAUACGCGAUACACAGUGUGUGUCUGAGCGAAAGCAUUAAGUA